UAUGGUUGAGCGUUCACAUAUAUGUUUAACAUCGCAUCGUUCUUAAUGUGCAUAUGGUCGUUGGUCUCUAUCGUCUAUAACUGUAUUUCGUCUAAUGCUAUUAGCAUGUACCAACUUGGACAUUACUUAUCUCUUAAAUUGUUUUUUGUUUGUUUUUUUGCAUGCCGGGGCAUUUUUAGCUUUAAUGUAUAGGGUUUGUUCAUCAUUGUUAAAGGUCGUACGGUGACCUGGAGUAGUUUAUAUUUUAUAGUUUGUAUUACUUUUACUGUUCAAGUUGGUUUGUUUAUGGUGAUAUCCAUUUGACAUGGCUCAGUACUUAUAAAUCCCGCCAAUGUGUUGUUUGUAUUAUCUUUCAUUUUUGCUAAUAUGCUUUGUUCGUGUGACUUUUUGUGUUCCUUUG
RNAcentral lists this long non-coding RNA (400 nucleotides) under Mytilus galloprovincialis (Mediterranean mussel). The record is from RNAcentral. Lineage: Eukaryota; Metazoa; Mollusca; Bivalvia; Mytilida; Mytilidae.